Molecule: ribosomal RNA, 506 nt
Filed under: uncultured Glomeromycotina
Lineage: Eukaryota; Fungi; Glomeromycota
Description: SSU rRNA
Rfam family: Eukaryotic small subunit ribosomal RNA
Source: RNAcentral
AGCAGCCGCGGUAAUUCCAGCUCCAAUAGCGUAUAUUAAAGUUGUUGCAGUUAAAAAGCUCGUAGUUGAAUUUCGGGAUCGAAUUGUUGGUCGUGCUUCGGUACGCACUGGCAUUAUCGGUUUCUACCUUCUGAAGAACCGCGAUGUCAUUAAUUUGGUGUCGUGGGGAAUCAGGACUGUUACUUUGAAAAAAUUAGAGUGUUUAAAGCAGGCGUACGCUUGAAUACAUUAGCAUGGAAUAAUGAAAUAGGACGUUUGAUUCUAUUUUGUUGGUUUCUAGGAUCGACGUAAUGAUUAAUAGGGAUAGUUGGGGGCAUUAGUAUUCAAUUGUCAGAGGUGAAAUUCUUGGAUUUAUUGAAGACUAACUACUGCGAAAGCAUUUGCCAAGGAUGUUUUCAUUAAUCAAGAACGAAAGUUAGGGGAUCGAAGACGAUCAGAUACCGUCGUAGUCUUAACCAUAAACUAUGCCGACUAGGGAUCGGAUGAUGUUAAUUUUUUAAUGACUC